GUUUUUUUCCAUUUCUUCAUAUAAAAAUUUUCAUAUUGCUGUUUCCAAAUUUAUUUUUCUUAAUUUAUCACUGUUCUGUCUACUAACAGUAGAUAAGGAUUUAUUUAGCUUAAUAAUACUGACCUUUAUAGUCUCAUCCUCACCUCUAUCCAAAGGUACACAUAGGUCCUUCACAGGUCAUUUUUGCACCACUCAACAAUAUUACAUCAUCAUUUCUUGUUCCAUCAUAAUUGAGAGUAUCUACUGAUUUCUUAUUAUGAAGAUAAUGGCAUCCAUGUUCCUACACUUCUUCCACAUUCGUCCUCCCUUCAUCUAUUCUGUUCUUGAGCGACCAAGCUGAGAGUGCCAGAAGUUGGGCAUUUUGUGCCCUCAGGGGGAAAUUACCACUUUUAUGUUUUGGAAAAUAUAAAUUCACUGAGGGAAUGGAUUGCCUAAAAGGGAAUAGGUCUCAGAACACCAGAAAAAGGAGAUGUGGUUUGACCCGGAAAGGAGAGAACCAGAUUUCCUCACUCCUAUUCAAGACUCUGAAGAACUUCUGAAACUGUUGAGAAAGUGUUGUUGAAACCAAAGGGAUUCAGAGGAUGCUAAAGGAAUCUGGAUAAAUUUAAGAAGAAUGCAGGCCAAUUACAGUAACAGAGGUGAAUAUUUUCGUGAGAUCUCAGAUGCCAAUAUCCAGAAGUACACGGCUGGCUCCAGUAUUUUUAAAAAUGUCAAAUCGAAAAAUCAUGUGAAGAUGACAUGGCCCUUUUUUCUCGAGAGCUACCAGUCACACUUCCUAAAUCUUCAUACCCAGGGAGGGUGACCUUCACAGACUACAUGGUUCUCCAGCCAAAUAUAUGCACUUUCCCACUGGAUCCACCAAACAAAUAAAUAAUGGUAAAGCAAGAAAAUUCAAUAUCUUAACUACAAUAAAGUCAUCC
This 920-nucleotide long non-coding RNA is filed under the name Pan troglodytes (chimpanzee). Its description in RNAcentral is "lncRNA (ENSPTRG00000053043.1)". Lineage: Eukaryota; Metazoa; Chordata; Mammalia; Primates; Hominidae. The record is from RNAcentral.